UUAUUCUAGAUCACACUUCCCAUAAAGCGCCUGCCCGCAAAUACCACCUUGGUUUUUUUUCCCCAUAGAGCAUUGACCUAACUCUGUUCCAGGAAUGGUCUGAGAAAGAAGAUACUAAAAUAGGAUAUUAGAGCUGUUUUGCCCACUGGCUGGCUGACAAGGAGGAUUCCAUCACUGAUGAUAUGUGGAGUACAGAAAACCCCUGGCAUGGUGUGGAAGUGGUCUUGUUAACACUCUUGCUGACGUUAAACUGGGAUGGGAUGCUAGAGGCAAGAAACAUGCUGAGUAUGGCUUGACAAGCAGUGCUAGGUCCUUGCCCGGGACCCAAAUCCGUGAACCCCGGGCCACCAAAGUAUAGUGCACGAACUUAGCCACUACACCACCAGGCCAGCGCCCUAUUGACUUUUUUAAUGUUUUCUCUUGUGUGUAGUUUUCAACACUUUGACUCUGAUAUAUGACGGUGAUGUACCUAGGUGCGACCAGUCCAUAACAAGCAAGUGGAAAGUCAAAGUAACUGAUUUAGAGCACAGACUAAAAGCAGAUGACUCUCUAAGUCUCCAAAGGACUCAAAGAGUGGAAAACGACUGGGUAUAUUUUGCCAGCAUCUUUUAUAAACCCACAUUGCUGCAUUGUGCUCCUUAGCUGAUGAGGGAAAAGUGGAGAUUUUCAUCUUAAAACCAAAUAUAAAAUUAAAUCAUCUCUUCAUUGAACUCCUUGACCAUGUUACUCUUAAAAUUAAAGGGUCUAUCAUGUCCAGCUUCCCCGG
RNAcentral lists this long non-coding RNA (766 nucleotides) under Equus caballus (horse). RNAcentral's name for it is "lncRNA (ENSECAG00000058522.1)". The record is from RNAcentral. Lineage: Eukaryota; Metazoa; Chordata; Mammalia; Perissodactyla; Equidae.